RNAcentral lists this ribosomal RNA (1168 nucleotides) under Bacillus amyloliquefaciens. RNAcentral describes it as "bacterial SSU rRNA". It matches the Rfam family "Bacterial small subunit ribosomal RNA", at positions 35 to 1187 of the family's 1533-position model. The record is from RNAcentral. Lineage: Bacteria; Bacillati; Bacillota; Bacilli; Caryophanales; Bacillaceae.
GAUGGCGGGGUGCUAUACAUGCAAGUCGAGCGGACAGAUGGGAGCUUGCUACCCUGAUGUUAGCGGCGGACGGGUGAGUAACACGUGGGUAACCUGCCUGUAAGACUGGGAUAACUCCGGGAAACCGGGGCUAAUACCGGAUGCUUGUUUGAACCGCAUGGUUCAAACAUAAAAGGUGGCUUCGGCUACCACUUACAGAUGGACCCGCGGCGCAUUAGCUAGUUGGUGAGGUAACGGCUCACCAAGGCGACGAUGCGUAGCCGACCUGAGAGGGUGAUCGGCCACACUGGGACUGAGACACGGCCCAGACUCCUACGGGAGGCAGCAGUAGGGAAUCUUCCGCAAUGGACGAAAGUCUGACGGAGCAACGCCGCGUGAGUGAUGAAGGUUUUCGGAUCGUAAAGCUCUGUUGUUAGGGAAGAACAAGUGCCGUUCAAAUAGGGCGGCACCUUGACGGUACCUAACCAGAAAGCCACGGCUAACUACGUGCCAGCAGCCGCGGUAAUACGUAGGUGGCAAGCGUUGUCCGGAAUUAUUGGGCGUAAAGGGCUCGCAGGCGGUUUCUUAAGUCUGAUGUGAAAGCCCCCGGCUCAACCGGGGAGGGUCAUUGGAAACUGGGGAACUUGAGUGCAGAAGAGGAGAGUGGAAUUCCACGUGUAGCGGUGAAAUGCGUAGAGAUGUGGAGGAACACCAGUGGCGAAGGCGACUCUCUGGUCUGUAACUGACGCUGAGGAGCGAAAGCGUGGGGAGCGAACAGGAUUAGAUACCCUGGUAGUCCACGCCGUAAACGAUGAGUGCUAAGUGUUAGGGGGUUUCCGCCCCUUAGUGCUGCAGCUAACGCAUUAAGCACUCCGCCUGGGGAGUACGGUCGCAAGACUGAAACUCAAAGGAAUUGACGGGGGCCCGCACAAGCGGUGGAGCAUGUGGUUUAAUUCGAAGCAACGCGAAGAACCUUACCAGGUCUUGACAUCCUCUGACAAUCCUAGAGAUAGGACGUCCCCUUCGGGGGCAGAGUGACAGGUGGUGCAUGGUUGUCGUCAGCUCGUGUCGUGAGAUGUUGGGUUAAGUCCCGCAACGAGCGCAACCCUUGAUCUUAGUUGCCAGCAUUCAGUUGGGCACUCUAAGGUGACUGCCGGUGACAACCCGGAGGAAGGUGGGGAUGACGUCA